Molecule: ribosomal RNA, 1362 nt
Filed under: Gilpinia baiyinaobaoa
Lineage: Eukaryota; Metazoa; Arthropoda; Insecta; Hymenoptera; Diprionidae
Description: 16S ribosomal RNA
Source: RNAcentral
AAUUUUUAUAUUAUUAAUUAAUUAAUUAAUAAUUUUAAUUUAAUAAAAAUAUUUUUAUUAWAUUUAUUUUUAGUAUAAUUURAAGAAAAWAWUUUUUKAAUUAUAGUAUAYUUUGUAUAUUGAUAGAAAUUUGAAAAAUUUUGAAAAAWWUUUUUUUAWUAAAGUAUAUUUUAUUUAUAGUACCUUGUGUAUCAGGGUUAAUURAAAAAAUUAUAUUUAAAUAAUAUUUUUCUCGAAUUUAAAAGAUCUAUUUAAUAAAAAUWAUUUUUAAUGUUUAAUAAUUAUUUUAAAUUUUURAAUAGAAAUGAAAUGUUUUUCGUUUUUAAAGUUAUCUAGUUUUUUAAUAAAUAAAUUUAAUUUAGAUAUUUUAUUUYAUAAUUAYUUUAAUUAAUUAAAGUAAUUAAAUAAAAUAUUAAAGUUUUAAGGGAUUAGCUUUAAUUCUUAAWUUUAUAAUUAAUUGAAUAAUUUAUAAAAUAUUUUUAGRCYUAGAAUUAGUUUUAAUUUAAAAAUUGUAAUAAAUUUAAUAUUAUAUAUAUAUAUAUAUAUAUAUAUAUAUAUUUUAAAAUAAUUUAAUUUUAUAUUAAAAUAAAUUAAUUAAUAAAAUUUUAAUUUAAAUGAUGAUUAAAUUAGUAAAUAUUUAAAAUUAAAUUAUUUUWAAAAUGAAAGUUAAUUAUAAGGAAUUCGGCAAAAAUUUAGCUCGCCUGUUUAACAAAAACAUGUCUUUUUGAAUUUAUAAAAAGUCUGAUCUGCUCAAUGAAAAUUUUUAAAUAGCCGCAGUAUCYUAACUGUGCAAAGGUAGCAUAAUAAUUUGUCCUWUAAUUUAGGACUAGAAUGAAWGAUUUGACGAGGUUAAAACUGUCUUAUAAUUAUUAAUUAUUGAAUUUAAUUUUUAAGUUAAAAAGCUUAAAUUUUAUUAAAGGACGAGAAGACCCUAUAGAGUUUAAUAAAUUAUAAAAUAUUUAUUUAUAUAAAUAUUUUUAUAUAAAUAUUUUAAUUUAUUUUAUUGGGGUGAUAAUUAAAUUUAAUWAACUUUAUAUAAUUAUUUWAACAUUUAUUAAUGAUUUUAUGAUCCUAAAAUUUAGAUUAUYAGAUUAAAUUACCUUAGGGAUAACAGCGUUAUUUUUUUUAAAGUUCAUAUUAACAUUAAAAAUUGCGACCUCGAUGUUGGAUUAAAAUUUAUGUUAGGUGUAGAAGCUUAAUAAUUAAGUCUGUUCGACUUUUAAAAUUUUACAUGAUCUGAGUUCAGACCGGUUUAAGCCAGGUUGGUUUCUAUCCUUAAUUUUAUAAAAAGUUUUUAGUACGAAAGGACCAUAAUUUURAAUUAUUAUAUUUUUAUAAAAAUGAAUUUUAUUAAUUAUUUAA